AAUGGGGGCAACCCUGAUCUAGCCAUGCCGCGUGAGUGAUGAAGGCCUUAGGGUCGUAAAGCUCUUUCGCCUGUGAUGAUAAUGACAGUAGCAGGUAAAGAAACCCCGGCUAACUCCGUGCCAGCAGCCGCGGUAAUACGGAGGGGGUUAGCGUUGUUCGGAAUUACUGGGCGUAAAGCGCGCGUAGGCGGAUUAGAAAGUUGGGGGUGAAAUCCCGGGGCUCAACCCCGGAACUGCCUCCAAAACUGCUAGUCUAGAGUUCGAGAGAGGUGAGUGGAAUUCCGAGUGUAGAGGUGAAAUUCGUAGAUAUUCGGAGGAACACCAGUGGCGAAGGCGGCUCACUGGCUCGAUACUGACGCUGAGGUGCGAAAGUGUGGGGAGCAAGCAGGAUU
Molecule: ribosomal RNA, 392 nt
Filed under: uncultured Gammaproteobacteria bacterium
Lineage: Bacteria; Pseudomonadati; Pseudomonadota; Gammaproteobacteria
Description: bacterial SSU rRNA
Rfam family: Bacterial small subunit ribosomal RNA
Source: RNAcentral